AUGUUCUUACCCGGUGGUUCUCUUGAAGAUGCUCUACUAGUUCAUCAUUCUUCAUUCUUUUCCUUCUCCGGUGGAUUCAAGUCAAGCUUUGUUGAUCAUAUCCUUUCUCCUCGUUUCAAUACCUUCUCUUGCCGGUGCACCUCAUAUUCAGUCAUUUCUCGUUAUUCAAUUGUUUCGGAGUGCUCAAGAUAUCCUGAAGAUUCGUGCUUACACUCUGCUUUCGUUCAAGCUCUUUCGAGGAUGUUAUCUCAUUCAAGCCAUUUAAAUUCAACCGGUGGAAUCUCUCUUUUCAAGCAAUCAUUCAACGGUGUUUCUUUUGAGUGGGCCCUAACCCACAGGUCUUUUCCCAGGAUCUUACCUGAGUCUUCUAAUUUUACCGGAGCUAUUCUCAAAUCUUUCAAAGUUUGA
Molecule: ribosomal RNA, 408 nt
Filed under: Triticum aestivum (bread wheat)
Lineage: Eukaryota; Viridiplantae; Streptophyta; Magnoliopsida; Poales; Poaceae
Description: partial small subunit ribosomal RNA
Source: RNAcentral